Molecule: long non-coding RNA, 743 nt
Organism: Protobothrops mucrosquamatus (brown spotted pit viper)
Lineage: Eukaryota; Metazoa; Chordata; Lepidosauria; Squamata; Viperidae
Exons: 4
Source: RefSeq, a predicted model, not a curated record
AACAAGCUCACUUCGCCCCCACCGGAACGCAGGUCCUCGUCACAGAUCCAAAUUGUGACGAUCAGCCGUCACCAAGCGUCGUUCUCCUGAGCCCUUUAUGCCACAAAAAGCGCAUCACCCUCGUGUGCCUGGUCCAGGGCUUCCACUACGAGUGGCCCCUGGAUGUGAUCUGGGAGCGUGAUGGCGAAAAGAUUAACCGGCUCUCCUUUGCUACUGAGCCAGUCCAGCAAAAAGAGAAGUGCAACUUCGCCACUGCCAGUCGCCUGAGCGUGUUGGCAGAGGAGUGGCAGAAAGGCCACAACUACUCCUGCCAUGUCAACCAAAUAGGGCAGGAGGUGGGUGACUCGGUGAAGAGCAGUCCAGACCACCAGACAGAAUCACCUUCAGGUAUCUCUGAGGUUCAACUCACCCUUUAUGCAGGACACUUUAUAUUCCUCCUACUAGGGGCCAAAAGCUUGGUCUACAGUGUUAUUUUGGCCGUCUACAAGUUCUAUAGGAAAAAAGGUCUCUAAUUGCAUUACCCGCUACAGCAGUAUUCACUCCCUUACCAGCCAAGCACAGAUUUACGUAUGGCUGCAGGCCUUUCUCAGUGAAGAUCCAUUCCAUUCCGAAGUUUCUACAUCCUUCAUCUCAGCCUCUUCCUUCCAGAGGGACUCAUUGGUCACUUUAUAUUAAAUUGUUCUAUGCCUUGAGAAAAUUUCAAUACGUAUUUUCUGCCUCAUAAUAAAGAUGUUAGUGUUUCC